GCACGCUCUGCGGCAGCUCCGGCACCGCGCUCAAGCGCUCCCAGUGCGAGCGCGCGCGCAUCGACCUCUCCCUCUGUCUCGAGGCCCAUACAUGACCUACGCAACCCAAAACCCAUGUGGUCCGGUACAUUCGUAUGCUGUUUUAUUGUACGAUUUUCUGUAAAUUCACUGAUGUUGGAGAUGUGGCCUGGUUUGGGAACACCCCUUUAUGCAUAGAGUGUAUAGUAAGAUAAGAGAGGAUCCAGGGACUCUGGAGACAAGACGUGUUCUUGUUACUGAAUAACUUCAAUUCCAAAUGGACGUUUCUGAUCAUGAAUUACUAACUAUUAUUAGUUUACUGGAUAAUAGACUCGUUUAUGUCCUUGUCACUUUGAAACAAUCAAUAUUGUCUUUCAUUUGCCCUUUCAUAUCUCUCAUUUUUCUGAUUCACGCAGCAGUUAUAGCUAGUGUUGCUGAUUAGUGAUUACAGUAUGUGAUUUAAAGGUCGAAGCAUAUUUCUGCUGAAAUCUUACAUGGUUAUCUUCGGGCUUCCACAUGACUGUGUUACUAUGAAACCUUGUACGGUGAAAUUUUGUCCAAGUAAAAGUUUGUAGAGAAAAAUAUAAACAUCUACAAUACCAAAUAAAUAUUAGUAGAUAUACCAUGAAAUAUAUUUUUUAGUGUAUUUAUUUGAUUUUUUAAUAGAUGUCCAUGUUUUUCUAUAAGCUUGACCAAACUUCAAAUAGUUUGACUUAUAACAAAACAUAUACUUUGGGAAAGAGGCAAUAUGAUGGCGGGAGUACAUUGAUAGAUUCCUUUUUGGGUAAAGGUUUAUAGGUUUUUACUUAACUCUGAUCCAAUGUAGUACUCGCCCCGUCCGGAAAUAUUUGUCGAAAAAAUGCAUAAAAAUGGAUGUAUCUAGAAUUAAAAUACGUCUAGAUACAUCCAUUCCUCCGACAAGUAUUUCCGGACGGAGGGAGUAUGAUUUAAAGCUAAAGCUUUCAGAUCGUCAUGUUCCUAAAAGAAAGAACACACGAAAUUAUUUAUGGUUCUUUUCAACUGUGAAAAGAGAGCACUGAGGGACAUAUAAGUUUACUCCAGCCUUGAUAACUACCCCCUCCGUCCCAUAAUAUAAAUAGCUUGCAAAACGAUCUUAUAUUAUGGGAUGGAGGGACCGAGGGAGUAGUAGUUAGUUAGUCGCCUCUACGGAGUGGCUUUCUUCCGGAGACAAAAACACUAAGUUUUUUCAUCUACGGGCAAGCUUGAGAAGAAAGAAAAAUAUGAUACGAGCACUGCAAAACUCUUUGGGAGUACUUAUAGAUGACCCGAUGGAGCUGAGAGCUCUGGCCAAUUUUUUUUACCAAGACCUGUACUCGUCUGAGGGAGUGCAAGGAGUAGAUACGGUACUGGAGCAUGUACCAAGGAAAGUAACAGUGGCGAUGAACGAGCAGCUUUGUGCGCCGUACUCCGCUGAUGAGGUCAAGUGUGCUUUGUUCCAAAUGUUCCCGACGAAGGCGCCGGGCCCUGAUGGGUUUCCAGCCCACUUUUAUCAGAAACACUGGGAUGUUUGCAGGGAGGAUGUGACUAACAUCGUGCUACAGAUUGUCAGAGGGGAGACGAGCCCUGAAUGUGUCAAUGAUACUGUACUGGUCUUAAUCCCCAAGGUUACAAAUCCUACCCUCCUCUCUCAAUAUAGACCGAUCAGUUUAUGCAAUGCUUUGUAUAAGAUUUCAUCCAAAGUCAUUGCAAAUAGAUUGAAGCUUAUCUUACAGACAUCAUAUCAAAGGAGCAGUCGGCGUUCGUGCCAGGAAGGUUGAUUACUGAUAAUAUUAUCUGCGCAUAUGAGUGUCUCCAUUUUAUGAAGAGGAACAGGUCAAAAAAUAAUAGUUUUUGUGCUCUAAAGCUUGAUAUGAUGAAAGCAUAUGACAGGUUGGAGUGGCCAUAUUUGAAAGCUAUUAUGCAAAAAUUGGGAUUUGCACAGGUAUGGAUUGACACGGUCAUGAACAUGGUCUCAACAGUCUCUUUCUCAGUCUUGUUCAAUGGAGAAAGGCUUGAAGCAUUUAGACCGACCAGAGGAAUUUGGCAGGGAGAUCCAAUCUCCCCUUAUCUCUUCUUGAUUGCAGCAGAGGGCCUCUCGUGCCUCCUGAAAACUAGUUCUCAGUCAUCACUUCUUGCAGGUGUCAAGGUGGCUCCCACGGCUCCGCCUGUUAACCAUCUUUUAUUUGCAGAUGAUAGCCUGUUGCUUUUCAAGUCGAGUGUGGAGGGUGCAGAACUUGUAUCAAACCUACUGAACAGGUAUUGUAAUGCUUCGGGCCAGAGAAUCAAUCAUGCUAAAUCAUCCAUCUUCUUCAGCAGAGGAUGCCCACAAGCAACCAGAGAGGGGGUGAAAGACAGCCUUCAGGUCCAUAAUGAAACUUUGAGCGAACGAUAUUUGGGCAUGCCCACUGAUGUGGGACACUCCAAGAACGGAACGUUCAAAUAUCUGCGGGACAGAGUUUGGGAGAAAAUAAGGGGAUGGAUGGAAAAAUUGUUAUCAUCUGCGGGCAAGGAGGUAUUGAUAAAGUCAGUUGCACAAGCAAUUCCAGUCUUCUCUAUGUCUUGUUUCAGGUUGCCAAGGGGUGUGUGCCUGGAUAUCGAAUCCCUUAUUCGUCAAUUUUGGUGGGGCAGCAAAAGAGGAAAGAGGAAACCCUCAUGGGUUGCGUGGGAUGUGAUGAUCAGACCCAAGUAUAUGGGGGGCAUGGGAUUCAGAGACCUCGAGUUGUUUAACCUGGCAUUGUUAGCAAGACAGGCAUGGAGGGUUUUGAUUGAUGAUGAGACUUUGAGCGCUCAAAUACUCAAAGCAGCUUACUAUCCUAAUGGCUCUUUACUUGAUGCAACACUUGGGCCGCAUCCAUCUUAGAUUUGGAGGGCUAUACUUGAUGGCAGAGAUGUGCUUGCGCAGGGAGUGAUACGUCGGAUUGGAGACGGAGAGACUACCAGCAUUUGGGAUCAUAACUGGAUACCGAGACCAAGUUUUAAGCGACCAAUUACCUCUCUGGUACCGGCUCCACCGGAGAGAGUAGCUGAACUUAUUGAGUUAACUACAUCUUCAUGGAAAGAGGAGUUGGUGAGAGCAGUAUUCACCCCCUUUGAUGUUGAAGAAAUUUUGAAAAUCCCGCUGUGCACGAGACGUAUUGAUGAUUUUUGGGCUUGGAGCGAGACCCCGAGGGGAAUUUUCAGAGUUGCAUCGACAUAUCGCAUGCUUGUGUCAACAAAAAUCAGUAGAGAAAACUGGUUGGAAGGAAGAGAGGAAUCAUCACUUAUAAACAGGGAGAGUGGAGAAUGGAACAGUCUGUGGAAAUUGCAUGUACCUUCAAAGAUCAAAGUGUUCGCAUGGCGGCUGGCGAGGCACUCCAUCCCUUCCGGCCAGGUGCUACACCAUCGCCAUAUGGCAACGACUUCAGCGUGCCCUCUAUGUGGAGCUCGGGAUACAUGGAAGCAUGUGUUACUCGAGUGUCCGAUGUCUCGUUGCACUUGGGCAUUGUCCUCGGAAGUAGUACUGGAUCAUCUCAGUAUUGUUCAACAUGACAACGCGAAAAAAUGGCUGUUUGUCCUUCAAGAGAGCCUCGAUGCCGAUGACUUUAUCAGACUAGUGGUCACUCUUUGGGCUAUCUGGGGAGCUAGAAGAAAAGCAAUAUAUGAAGGAGUUUUCCGCAGCCCUCAGUCCAUCGAUGGAUUCAUAAAUUCUUACCUGUCGGAGAUCAAUAUGAUCUACCCCGAGAAAGCUUCAGUGCUCAAGGCAAAUACGCCAAGGCCGCGACGGUGGUUGCCGCCCGUUGAGAAUCACGCUAAAAUAAACACGGAUGCAGCAGUCGGUGGCCGGGGAUGAUUUGGUGCGGUCGCAGCAAUCUGCCGUGAUGGUGAGGGAACUUUUGCAGGUGCGUCGGCAGUCGUAUACAGAACAAUUGGAGACCCGGCUACGCUCGAAGCCUUAGCCAUCCGAGAGGCUCUCUCCCUUGCUGAUGAUCUAUAUCUCCAGAGAAUUCACGUGGCUUCGGAUUGCAGGGAAGUAGUGGAGGAGAUUUCCAGCGGUGGUGCAUCGAUCUAUGGUGCAGUUAUACAAGAGAUCAAGUCGCACGUUUUGUCCUUUAAUUCUUGUAAGAUACUUCAUGAGUUUAGGAGCUCAAAUUAUGAUGCUCACAACCUUGCGAAAUAUGCGUUGGGUCUCGGGCCUGGCCGUCAUAUUUGGUUAGGCCAGCCCGAGGGAAUUCCCUUCGUCCAUGUAAACAUCGUGACGAAUGAAUAAAAAGUUUGGCAGGGUUGCCUAAAAAAACCAACAAAUCCAAAUCCAAGAAUUACUCAAAAUAAAAUAAAAUAACAAAUCCAAGAGCGGAGGGGCGAUCAAAGGUGGGGCGGAAGCGCCGAUCUCCCCCGAUUCCAUGAGCAGGAGCGGAGGCGGCGGCCGCGGGAGACAACAACCCGAGGCCGAAUCUGCGGCCGUGCCCGUCCCGGGGCCCUGCGCCUCGACCCAUCGGGCUCUCGCCGAGUGCCACCGCCGUGCCGCCCGCGGCCCGCUGCAGCCCGAGGUGCUGUGCCGGCACCUCAACCGGGCCCUGGCCGAGUGCGUGGUGAACAUGUGCUGCCCCGGCGAGACCGACGCCGUGCGCACGCUCUGCGGCAGCUCCGGCACCGCGCUCAAGCGCUCCCAGUGCGAGCGCGCGCGCAUCGACCUCUCCCUCUGCCUCGAGGCCCAUACAUGACCUACGCAACCCAAAACCCAUGUGGUCCGGUACAUUCGUAUGCUGUUUUAUUGUACGAUUUUCUGUAAAUUCACUGAUGUUGGAGAUGUGGCCUGGUUUGGGAACACCCCUUUAUGCAUAGAGUGUAUAGUAAGAUAAGAGAGGAUCCAGGGACUCUGGAGACAAGACGUGUUCUUGUUACUGAAUAACUUCAAUUCCAAAUGGACGUUUCUGAUCAUGAAUUACUAACUAGUAUUAGUUUACUGGAUAAUAGACUCGUUUAUGUCCUUGUCACUUUGAAACAAUCAAUAUUGUCUUUCAUUUGCCC
Molecule: long non-coding RNA, 5025 nt
Filed under: Triticum aestivum (bread wheat)
Lineage: Eukaryota; Viridiplantae; Streptophyta; Magnoliopsida; Poales; Poaceae
Description: long non-coding RNA (TAES_LNC022231)
Rfam family: MIR1120/MIR1122 microRNA precursor family (bases 841-965)
Source: RNAcentral